RNAcentral lists this unclassified non-coding RNA (564 nucleotides) under Hevea brasiliensis (rubber tree). Lineage: Eukaryota; Viridiplantae; Streptophyta; Magnoliopsida; Malpighiales; Euphorbiaceae. The record is from RNAcentral.
AUAUAAUGAAUUUUUAAUUUUUUUAUAAAUUAUAAUCUAUGUACUGAAUAAAUAUAAUUGGCAAACCGCAAAUCAAAUUGGUGUACCAAUUGAGUCUACUCCUACAUACCUGUAUUUCAUUAAGUGAUGUACCACGAUCCAGAAUAUCGUCCAGGUAACUAUGGGAGAGAGGCAUCACAAAAGGGGUUAGGGACUUAGGGCUGUAUCUAUAUAGAGAUUAAACAGUAGUCUCUUUCUCUAAAAUGACAACACAAAUAUAGGUAUUAAGUAGGGAUAAAUUUUGGUUCGGUUAUAUAUGUAUACAAACCUUAAAUGAACUGAAAUAUCGAAAUUUAUCUAAAAUAUUAGCUGAAACUGAAUCAAUUGAUUGAAUAACUGAACCAAAAAAUUGAAAUAAAUCGGAUCGGUUCGGUUCGGUUCUUGGUUAAAGCUGUAAUCUGCUCAGCUCUAGUUAACAUGCUAUGUGGAUCCUUUGUUUCAGGAUUUUGGAGAUUGAUUCUUUCUUUUUUUUUUUAAAUUUUUAUUUGCAUAAAAAAAACUCUAACAUGUUAUUUAGGUCCUUUG